This 1388-nucleotide long non-coding RNA is filed under the name Equus asinus (donkey). RNAcentral describes it as "lncRNA (ENSEASG00005025390.1)". Lineage: Eukaryota; Metazoa; Chordata; Mammalia; Perissodactyla; Equidae. The record is from RNAcentral.
UUUUUUAAAUUUCAACAUCUAUUUAUGAUUUUUUUAUUUUAAAAACUCUUAGAAAACUAGGAAUAAAAGGAAACCUACUUAAUUUAGUAAAGGUUGUACAUAAAAACCAAUAGCAAGAAUUUGUGCUUCAGGGAAGAUGAAAUAGACCUACUUUUCCCUAUUCCUCCCACUAAAUACAACUGAAAACCCUGGUCAUUAUAUAUGAAACAAACAUAAGGAGACCCUGAAAGGUAGAGAGAAGAAGGCAGACCAUCUAGGACGCCAGGACCUAUGGAAUGACACAAUGGUGAGUUCCCCGGGCUUUCUUCUUGACUCAUAUAUCCCAAACCUGGAGCUGAAGAAACUGGCAACUUAGAAAGGCCAACUGGCACAAACCAAAAAGCCCCAACAAAAGUCUGACAUUACCAGACAAAAUACCAGGACGGACAGCCUAUCAAGACAGAAAACUUUUAGAAAAUAACUUCUCUAUUCCAGGCAAACACCAUGAAAUAACUGUGACCCCAUUCCUACUCCAGAAAGACCAAAUGAGAAGCCUAGACUUGCCCUCUUGAGCCUGAGACGAAGUAUCUCUACGUCACUCUGCAGUGGUAUCCUGAAAGACCAAUGAGGAUGCCAAGAACUCUGUUUCUUCAGACCAGUAAAGAGAUCUCCUGCCCAAGGUAUUAGUGGAGAUAGGGGGUAAGGAUGAACUCCCGUACCAGCCCAGCAAUCAUGAUAAUGGCUAAAAGAAGUUCUCUAAACAGAAUGAAAAUUAUAAAAUAGGAACCUUGAAACAUCAAGAAAGAAAAAAGAACAAGCCCCCAGUACGUAGUUGUAUAUUCUGGUUGUGAGUGCCUCUGGUUGUGCUAUGUGGGACGCCGUCUCAGCAUGGCCUGACAAGCAGUGCCACGUCCGCGCCCGGGAUCCGAACCUCCCUGGCCACCAAAGCAGAGUGUGCGAACUUAACCACUCAGCCACAGGGCCAGCCCCAGCCUUUUCAACAAAUUGUACUAGAACAAUUGAACAUCCAUAGGUGAAUAAGAAAAAGAAGAAGAGAAAAGAAAAAGAAGGAAUAGGAGGAGAAGGAAGAAGGGGAGGAGGAGGAGGAGAGAGUAGGGAAAGAGCAGGAGGAGAAGAGGAGCAGGAAGAAGAAGCUUAGACUAAGACGGAUUAUGGACUUAAAUGUAAAAACUUUUUUUAAAAAAUAGGAGAAAAUCUUCAGGGUCUAGAGCUAGGCGAAAAAUUCUUAGAGUUGACACCAAAAGCAUGAUCCAUAAAACGAAAAAUUGAUAAAUUGGACCUCUUCAAAAUUAAAACUUUUGCUCCAUGAGAAACCUGUGGAGAAGAUGAAAAGACAAGCUACAGAACAGAAAACUCAACAGUAAAAAACACUAAUUAGAAAAUGAGAA